GAUGAACGCAGCGGCAGGCCUAACACAUGCAAGUCAGGGGCAUCGCGGUGCAGCAAUGCACUGGCGGCGACCGGCGUACGGGUGCGUAACGCGUAUGCAACCUGCCCCGCACCGGGGGAGUAGCCCGCCGAAAGGCGGAUUAAUACCCCAUGGUCCCGGGGGCCCGCAUGGGCAUCCGGGUAAAGCCUUGGCGGUGCGGGAUGGGCAUGCGUGCCAUUAGCUGGCUGGUGGGGUAACGGCCCACCAGGGCAACGAUGGCUAGGGGGUCUGAGAGGAUGGUCCCCCACACUGGUACUGAGACACGGACCAGACUCCUACGGGAGGCAGCAGUGAGGAAUAUUGGUCAAUGGGCGGAAGCCUGAACCAGCCAUGCCGCGUGCGGGAUGAAGGCCCUACGGGUUGUAAACCGCUUUUCCCCGGGAAGAAUAACCCCGAUGAGUCGGGGGAUGCCGGUACCGGGGGAAUAAGGAUCGGCUAACUCCGUG
RNAcentral lists this ribosomal RNA (485 nucleotides) under uncultured bacterium. RNAcentral's name for it is "bacterial SSU rRNA". It matches the Rfam family "Bacterial small subunit ribosomal RNA", at positions 28 to 507 of the family's 1533-position model. The record is from RNAcentral.